AAGAGAGGAGCUGAACAAUGGAGAAUAUGAGGAAAAUAAUCAACCUGUUCCAGUAGAGCCCAAAAACAACAUCACGAGCCAAUCACAGACUCCAGACUGGGUCGAUACGUAAUAUCAGACACACAUUGAUCUGCAGGUGUGACACUAAAUCCUGCUCAUUAUUUGAGGGUCAGAGGAGAGCGGUGCAAUUAAAGAUCAACGCUUUAUUACAAACCCUCACACACCCCGUCAGACGUCAGUAUGGAUCUGUUCUCUGGGGUUUAGUGCUCAAAAACACUGUAUGACUCGAGCCGCAAGAACCCGCUGAGACCAAACCAACACACCUGUGACUGACGGAUCGACACACCUGUGUGUGUUUGUGUCUGAGUAACACAUCAGCAACGUCACAUGACUUAACCGCCGGCUAGACCAGACCAACAUCAUCACUGAAACUCUGAAACAGUUUAAUACACACGCAGUCAUCAGGAAAUGAACAUGAAACGUUGCAUGUUUUUAACAGGUUUGGUCAUGAUGACACUGAUAUUUAAAGAGAAAACAGAAAAUGGCAAACAUUUAUUAUUAUCUUAAUUUAUUACCUAAAAAGAAAUAAAAACUAAAUUGCAAGCCACACAAAUUUAUUGCUCAUGAAAAAACGUCUUCAUUUUUAACACUAUCCCAGCUGACAAAAAUAUGUUCUAAGAAACACAAACAUUAAGGGAACAUUCUGCAAACAUUAUGAGAACGUUACAUUUGAAUGUUCUCUGAAACUAGUAACAUUUAAAAAAUGUUAGACGAACAUCAAACUAAAAUGUUUCAUAAAAAAAAAUAUAUAAAUAAUGUUUUUGUGCUCAACAUUAUUAAAGACCAGAGAGCUUUGAACGUAUGUUACUGAAGAACGUUUGUUCAUAACGUUGAGAGAACGUUCCGUUAGCUGGGACGGUUUACAAUGUGACAAAAACACAUGAGAAAGAAGGAAAAGUAACACAAAACCACAUUGUUUCACAGUUACCAGAUGGUUUUAUAAUUUAAUACAGUCGUAUGAAUGUGCUACACGGCUUCUGAAGCGACAGACUGACCAGCUCAACUCUCUGAGUCCCGCUUCAUGCCUUCAUGAUCAUCACAGAAGCGCUUCUGAUGCAUAAACUGGACAACAAAGACCCAACAGAAGGAGACAAACGUAAGGACGGGUUCAUUAUCAAUGAUGCAUGAAAAGCAGGUGACAUCAGUCGCUCAUCAGAGUUCAGUUCACGCUUGUUCAAAAUUGACUGACGCCUUCCAGAUUCCACAGUCUGCCAGUAACAGGAAACAGACAUUCAUAGAAGAGUUUUGGGGAAUCCACAUCGAUCCAGAUUAUUUGCAUUUGUUGUUCCUUAAAGAUAAAAUAAGGCCGCAGUCACUGAGUACAUGUGUGCCGUUCUUUAUCCGGUGUCCAGAAGAAGAAAGAAAUGAGUAAGAGGUUUGUUUUAGCUUUCAUAAUGACAGUAAUGUUUCCUUCUCUUCAUUUCAGAAGUACAGUAAGUGAGAAACGGAUACGUUUGCUUCUGGAAACAGUCCAUCUUAUUUGUUAAAAAUGCUCAGAUUCAUCAUACAAACCACAGAAACUGAGUCCGGGCUACAAGAACAUGAAAAUACAUGCCGCAUUAUGACUCUUAAAUUAAUGUGUCAUAGAAAUUAAUGGGUGAAUCUCACAAAACAUGUACUGGACAUAUUUCACACUGAGAAACUGUAUUUUGAAUGAAGACUACAAUUUUAAACAAAUCUUGACUGAGAAUAAUGAGAAUGCUACAGUCAAACCAAAAUUUAUUCAGACACCCUGAA
Molecule: long non-coding RNA, 1797 nt
Organism: Ctenopharyngodon idella (grass carp)
Lineage: Eukaryota; Metazoa; Chordata; Actinopteri; Cypriniformes; Xenocyprididae
Exons: 2
Source: RefSeq, a predicted model, not a curated record